This 637-nucleotide ribosomal RNA is filed under the name uncultured bacterium. RNAcentral's name for it is "bacterial SSU rRNA". It matches the Rfam family "Bacterial small subunit ribosomal RNA", at positions 232 to 879 of the family's 1533-position model. The record is from RNAcentral.
CGCGGCCUAUCAGCUUGUUGGUGGGGUAAUGGCCUACCAAGGCGACGACGGGUAGCCGGCCUGAGAGGGCGACCGGCCACACUGGGACUGAGACACGGCCCAGACUCCUACGGGAGGCAGCAGUGGGGAGUAUUGCGCAAUGGGCGAAAGCCUGACGCAGCGACGCCGCGUGAGGGACGACGGCCUUCGGGUUGUAAACCUCUUUCAGCAGGGACGAAGCGAAAGUGACUGUACCUGCAGAAGAAGCACCGGCUAACUACGUGCCAGCAGCCGCGGUAAUACGUAGGGUGCAAGCGUUGUCCGGAAUUAUUGGGCGUAAAGAGCUCGUAGGCGGUCAGUCGCGUCGGAUGUGAAAACCCAGGGCUCAACCCUGGGCCUGCAUUCGAUACGGGCAGACUAGAAUUCGGUAGGGGAGACCGGAAUUCCUGGUGUAGCGGUGAAAUGCGCAGAUAUCGGGAGGAACACCAGUGGCGAAGGCGGAACUCUGGGCCGGAACUGACGCUGAGGAGCGAAAGCGUGGGGAGCGAACAGGAUUAGAUACCCUGGUAGUCCACGCCGUAAACGUUGGGCACUAGGUGUGGGACUCUAUCGACGGGUUCCGUGCCGUAGCUAACGCAUUAAGUGCCCCGCCUGGGGA